RNAcentral lists this transfer RNA (68 nucleotides) under Yoda sp. d ASH-2021. RNAcentral's name for it is "tRNA-Arg". The record is from RNAcentral. Lineage: Eukaryota; Metazoa; Hemichordata; Enteropneusta; Torquaratoridae.
GAGAAUAGUCCAAUAAAAAGACAUCUGAAUUCGGCUCAUAAAACAUUGGUGAAAAUCCAACCCUCCUU